Non-coding RNA from Cladophialophora carrionii CBS 160.54, 91 nucleotides. The record is from the annotation of a RefSeq genome assembly. Lineage: Eukaryota; Fungi; Ascomycota; Eurotiomycetes; Chaetothyriales; Herpotrichiellaceae.
GGGCAAAUGGUCUAGGGGUAUGAUUUUCCCUUCGCAUAACACGUCAAUAUGUGACUGGGAAAGGUCCGGGGUUCAAAUCCCCGUUUGUCCA